AUCUCUUCUCUGCCUAUUAGCUAAAAUCAAGCAUAGUGUCUGUCUUACCAGUUAGAGCACCUGAUGUAUUCUUCAUCUGUGUCCUGGGCAUUAAAUUAAUGUUUGGAGUUAGGCGAUGGAUUGGUAGCUUACUCAAUCAGUUCCACGCCUCAGCUUGGAAGUGCAUUACUUCCAGGAACAGUGCCUUCCUU
This is a small nuclear RNA of Hippopotamus amphibius kiboko, 191 nucleotides long. RefSeq annotates it as U2 spliceosomal RNA. The record is from RefSeq and is a predicted model, not a curated record. NCBI's taxonomy places the organism in Eukaryota, Metazoa, Chordata, Mammalia, Artiodactyla, Hippopotamidae. The transcript has a single exon.